RNAcentral lists this long non-coding RNA (1902 nucleotides) under Equus caballus (horse). RNAcentral describes it as "lncRNA (ENSECAG00000052110.1)". Lineage: Eukaryota; Metazoa; Chordata; Mammalia; Perissodactyla; Equidae. The record is from RNAcentral.
AGGAUUGGUGUUCUUAUAAGAAGAGGAAGAGACACGGGGAUGGGCACACAUAGAGGAAAGACCACGUGAGGACACAGGAGCUGGUGGCCGUCUGCAUGCUAGGGAGAGAGGCCUCAGGAGAAACCAACCCUGUGGACACCUUGAUGUCAGACCUCCAGCCUCCAGAACCAUGAGAGAGAAAUUUCCAUUGUUUACAAGCUCCCCGGUUGAUGUAUUUUGUAGGGCAGCUCUAGAAAAGUAGCACAUUACCCAAAGACAGGUGUUGGCCCUCAUUUUUGCUUUUGGGAGAGUGAUUCUCACGAUUUAGGCAGACAGAGAAAAGUUUCCUUUUAAACCUAGUGCCUGGAACAGAAUUUUUUUAAACUUAGAAUUCCAUUGAUAAAAUUGAAGAUGAUUUGGUUGAAUUCAAAGCCGAGGCUGAGAAUAAUUAAAAUGGGAAAGCAUUAAAAAAUGGUGAAGGCAAGAUUAAAAUUGUGGAAAAAGGUGAGAAAGAAAGCCGAUAAAGCCAAUAGUAGUGGAGCAAAUAAGGAAUAAAAUCACUUUAGAUUAGCCCUGAGCUAACAUCUACUGCUAAUCCUCCUCCUCUUGCUGAGGAAGACCAGCCCUGAGCUCACAUCUGUGCCCAUCAACCUCCACUUCACAUGUGGGACACCUACCACAGCAUGGCCCGCCAAGCUGUGCCAUGUCCACACCCGGGAUCCGAACCAGUGAACCCUGGGCCACCAAAGCGGAACUGUGCGCACUUAACUACUGCGCCACCAGGCCAGCCCCAGAAGAUUUCAUUUGAUCCUGCUUUUCUGGAGCAAUGCCACCAACUUCAUUUGUAAUGUGCUGCCUUUGUCUUUGGGUGGAAAAUGGCGGAAGAACAGAGGAGCAGGUGUCCUUUAUAUGCACAUAACCUCAUAAACUUCAAUUGAUUCGUUGCCACCUGUUAUCAAACGACACCUGCAUAACAGACUGCAGAUAACAAAAGAGGCAUUCAGGGGCAGACAACUACGGUUAUGCAAUUGAAAGUCAAGGUUGCAUCUUUGAGUCCACCUAGAUAGUUGUGGGCAUUUCCUUUUUUUUCCUCAAUAGUAAAUACAUUCAUAUGGUUCAUAAAUUUAAAAAUAUGAAAUGGUUUACAGUGAAAGCUUUUUUGGGUCCCUUGACUGUGCAGUUUUCAUCUCCCAGCCCUUACCAGUCACUAAUUAGUUUAAUCAGUUUCAAGACUAUUCUUCCAGAAUUUCUUCAGGCAAAUACAAGUGUCUACGACCUCAUGUAUGUUUAAGCUGGGGAUCAUUUAAAGAACACCAUACCUAGUGGGAAUGAUCUUCUGACAUUUUUCCUUUUUUGAUGUAAGAAAAAAAUAUUAUAGUGAACCUUUGCAUGGUUUUAAUUUUCUAGCAAUAGUAGAGAUAGCCUGGCCUACUAACCAGUGCUGGGCUAGGCGUCAAUAGAUGCGCCAUUAAUUUAAAAUAUAACUCUGAACUCUCGUUCUUUGCGCUUCAGCUGAGAAGGAGAAUAUGCACCCGUGAGUGUGAAGGUAAAAUGGGGACAUGCAAGUGUCAGUGCUCUGAAAAGUGUAAGCUCGCAGGCAAAAAGAAGGCAUGAAUGAUGCCCUUCAUGAGGACCAGGGCAUCUUCCAACUUUCCUUUGAUGAUAAAUGAACAGCCUUAAAUUGUGGCUUGAAAAGAUUAUACUAGAUUUGCAAAGCAAGACACUGCUAUCAGCUAUAAUCUUUAAAAUGAACUCAUCAACUCAACGUUUUUUUAUUGCUUGCAAAUGUCACUAUCGUUAGCCAAAGUUUAUUAAAGCUCGGUAAUGUGCUUUCUACCAUGCAGGGGGAGAUGACUGAGUUGGGAGAGAUCCCUGGACAUCUAGAAUGUCUAAAGAGGCAGCUGGUCACCAGCCACAGAGGAG